This 79-nucleotide transfer RNA is filed under the name Bacillus anthracis str. Sterne. RNAcentral describes it as "tRNA-Asp". It matches the Rfam family "tRNA". From Rfam's summary of the family: Transfer RNA (tRNA) molecules are approximately 80 nucleotides in length. Their secondary structure includes four short double-helical elements and three loops (D, anti-codon, and T loops). Lineage: Bacteria; Bacillati; Bacillota; Bacilli; Caryophanales; Bacillaceae. RNAcentral also lists the same sequence under 3 other names. The record is from RNAcentral.
GGUCCCGUGGUGUAGUGGUUAACAUGCCUGCCUGUCACGCAGGAGAUCGCCGGUUCGACCCCGGUCGGGACCGCCACUU